GGAGCCACUGCAUCCAGCACAUGGGGUGCCUGGGCCUCAGAUGGGGACCCCAAAGAAGCAGAAGCUGAAGAAGGGCCACCAGACUCCUGGAGAGAUCAAGCAAGGAGAACCUGGGGCUGCCAUGGCCAAAGCAACUCAACAGAUGCCAAUGCCAAUUCCAAGGCCAGCCACAACCCUGCCACCUUGGGGAAUCCAGCCUGGAGGCAUCCCCUAAGCAGCCAGCCAUGGCCUGGGUGGAGGCACCUGAAGACGUCUGUCCCAAACUCCCCCAGCCCUGAGCUGGGAGAUGACAGGGGGAAAGAGGCCCUCUCAAGGGUGCCAGAUGCCUGGGUCUCCCAAGAGGGGUCCCCCAACUCACUGUUCCCGGGACAGGCUGCCCCCUGUUCCAGGAAGCUCAUCCUCACCUGUGUAGGCCCCUGUAGUGACCCACGCGUCCAGCAGACGCCCACCCACCGCUAGCCGUUGUUCCUGUGCAAAGUAGUGUGCUAUGCACCCACCCAGGUGGCCGCCUCUGGGCCCAAGGCACAUGCUGUGAGCUUCCUGUGAGCCCAGGCUCUGCUCACUGCUGUCCCGCGUCAUGAGCACCACCUCUGCUUUCCCUGUGUAGAUCUAGGCCAGUGGCUGCUUGUUCUUGUGGAGCUGUGUGUGUUCUUCUCUGAGCAGCUCCUCCCCGGAGUCCCCCAGCACAGUCCCAGGAGAUGACAGGAAGGAAGCACCAGGGCAAGGCGGACGCUCACCCUGUGACCACGAUGGUGACCGUGACUGUGGGAGGAAGAACUGGACCCAGGACGGAGCGGGGCUGCCCUGCCUGAGGCUCCCGAGGAGCUUUGUGCUUUGGUGUUCCACCCCUGUUGUUACUCAUGACUCAGUUUCCUUAACCUGGUAGGGUGUUCCCUGCUGUGUUUUCCAGUGUCCUGUGACUGUCCUGUGCGGGCCAUAGGGCAGGGCCCUGCCCCAGCAGAUGGGCUUGGGAGGGGACUCCCUAAAGCCAGUGGACACUGCCAGAGUCUACCUUCCUGGCAAGAGGCAGACCCCGGGGCCCUCAGGAAGGAGGGAGUUGGCAGCGGGGGCUGCAGCAGGAGUAGGAGCAGAUGAGGCGUCUUGCCAGGAACCUCAGGAGGAGGGGGCCCGGGACCUGUGUGGGACCUGUGUCCUGUGGUGGCCGUUUGCAGUUUCUCUCUGUGUUGUGAUUCCCUUCUCUUCAACGUUUUCAGUACGUGUUUCUCUUCAAUAAACUUCAUUCAGUGUUCC
This 1251-nucleotide long non-coding RNA is filed under the name Homo sapiens (human). Its description in RNAcentral is "long non-coding RNA NONHSAT139059.2". Lineage: Eukaryota; Metazoa; Chordata; Mammalia; Primates; Hominidae. The record is from RNAcentral.